This 74-nucleotide transfer RNA is filed under the name Polistes fuscatus (common paper wasp). RNAcentral describes it as "tRNA-Glu". It matches the Rfam family "tRNA". Rfam says of the family: Transfer RNA (tRNA) molecules are approximately 80 nucleotides in length. Lineage: Eukaryota; Metazoa; Arthropoda; Insecta; Hymenoptera; Vespidae. The record is from RNAcentral.
GGCCUGUUAGCUCAGUGGGUAGAGCAUCGCGCUUUCAUUGCGAAGGUCGCGGGUUCGAUUCCCGUCACAGGCCG